CAAUAGUGUAUAUUAAAGUUGUUGCAGUUAAAAGCUCGUAGUUGGAUUUCAAGAAACGCAUCUGGGUCACCAGUAUGCUUUCUACCAGUCUUUGACUGUUACUGUGAGAAAAUUAGAGUGUUUCAAGCAGGCAAUUGCAGGAAUACAUUAGCAUGAAUAACGAAUGGGUCUACAAUUUGGUUGAUUGUAGAUUGCGAUUAAUAGGGACAGUUGGGCAGGUUAGUAUUUAAUUGUCAGAGGUGAAAUUCUUGGAUUAGUUAAAGACUAACGUAUGCGAAAGCAUUUGCCAAGGAUGUUUUCAUUAAUCAAGAACGAAAGAUUGGGAUGCAAAGAUAGAUCAGAUACC
This 346-nucleotide ribosomal RNA is filed under the name uncultured eukaryote. RNAcentral's name for it is "SSU rRNA". It matches the Rfam family "Eukaryotic small subunit ribosomal RNA", at positions 592 to 1016 of the family's 1831-position model. The record is from RNAcentral.